GGAGUUGAGGCUCAGUGGUAGAGCAUUUGCCUAGCAUGUGUGAGGUCCUGGGUUCAAUCCCCAGCACCA
This 69-nucleotide transfer RNA is filed under the name Ictidomys tridecemlineatus (thirteen-lined ground squirrel). RNAcentral's name for it is "Spermophilus tridecemlineatus (thirteen-lined ground squirrel) tRNA". It matches the Rfam family "tRNA". From Rfam's summary of the family: Transfer RNA (tRNA) molecules are approximately 80 nucleotides in length. Their secondary structure includes four short double-helical elements and three loops (D, anti-codon, and T loops). Lineage: Eukaryota; Metazoa; Chordata; Mammalia; Rodentia; Sciuridae. The record is from Rfam by way of RNAcentral.